GAUAAAGAAAGGGGGAGAGAAAGAGAGUGUGUAAUAUAGGCAAAGCAAGAUGAGGAAAGAGGUUAUAGAGAGUGUGUAAUAUAGGCAAAGCAAGAUGAGGAAAGAGGUUAUAGAGAGUGUGUAAUAUAGGCAAAGCAAGAUGAGGAAAGAGGUUAUAGAGAGUGUGUAAUAUAGGCAAAGCAAGAUGAGGAAAGAGGUUAUAGAGAGUGUGUAAUAUAGGCAAAGCAAGAUGAGGAAAGAGGUUAUAGAGAGUGUGUAAUAUAGGCAAAGCAAGAUGAGGAAAGAGGUUAUAGAGAGUGUGUAAUAUAGGCAAAGCAAGAUGAGGAAAGAGGUUAUAGAGAGUGUGUAAUAUAGGCAAAGCAAGAUGAGGAAAGAGGUUAUAGAGAGUGUGUAAUAUAGGCAAAGCAAGAUGAGGAAAGAGGUUAUAGAGAGUGUGUAAUAUAGGCAAAGCAAGAUGAGGAAAGAGGUUAUAGAGAGUGUGUAAUAUAGGCAAAGCAAGAUGAGGAAAGAGGUUAUAGAGAGUGUGUAAUAUAGGCAAAGCAAGAUGAGGAAAGAGGUUAUAGAGAGUGUGUAAUAUAGGCAAAGCAAGAUGAGGAAAGAGGUUAUAGAGAGUGUAAUAUAGGCAAAGCAAGAUGAGGAAAGAGGUUAUAGAGAGUGUAAUAUAGGCAAAGCAAGAUGAGGAAAGAGGUUAUAGAGAGUGUGUAAUAUAGGCAAAGCAAGAUGAGGAAAGAGGUUAUAGAGAGUGUGUAAUAUAGGCAAAGCAAGAUGAGGAAAGAGGUUAUAGAGAGUGUGUAAUAUAGGCAAAGCAAGAUGAGGAAAGAGGUUAUAGAGAGUGUGUAAUAUAGGCAAAGCAAGAUGAGGAAAGAGGUUAUAGAGAGUGUGUAAUAUGGGCAAAGCAAGAUGAGGAAAGAGGUUAUAGAGAGUGUGUAAUAUAGGCAAAGCAAGAUGAGGAAAGAGGUUAUAGAGAGUGUGUAAUAUAGGCAAAGCAAGAUGAGGAAAGAGGUUAUAGAGAGUGUGUAAUAUAGGCAAAGCAAGAUGAGGAAAGAGGUUAUAGAGAGUGUGUAAUAUAGGCAAAGCAAGAUGAGGAAAGAGGUUAUAGAGAGUGUGUAAUAUAGGCAAAGCAAGAUGAGGAAAGAGGUUAUAGAGAGUGUGUAAUAUAGGCAAAGCAAGAUGAGGAAAGAGGUUAUAGAGAGUGUGUAAUAUAGGCAAAGCAAGAUGAGGAAAGAGGUUAUAGAGAGUGUGUAAUAUAGGCAAAGCAAGAUGAGGAAAGAGGUUAUAGAGAGUGUGUAAUAUAGGCAAAGCAAGAUGAGGAAAGAGGUUAUAGAGAGUGUGUAAUAUAGGCAAAGCAAGAUGAGG
This is a long non-coding RNA of Oncorhynchus keta (chum salmon), 1356 nucleotides long. RefSeq lists it as uncharacterized. The record is from RefSeq and is a predicted model, not a curated record. Lineage: Eukaryota; Metazoa; Chordata; Actinopteri; Salmoniformes; Salmonidae. The transcript has 7 exons.